RNAcentral lists this ribosomal RNA (440 nucleotides) under uncultured bacterium. RNAcentral's name for it is "partial 16S ribosomal RNA". It matches the Rfam family "Bacterial small subunit ribosomal RNA", at positions 338 to 795 of the family's 1533-position model. The record is from RNAcentral.
CCUACGGGAGGCAGCAGUGGGGGAUAUUGCACAAUGGGGGGAACCCUGAUGCAGCGACGCCGCGUGGGUGAAGAAGCGCCUCGGCGCGUAAAGCCCUGUCAGCAGGGAAGAAAAUGACGGUACCUGAAGAAGAAGCCCCGGCUAACUACGUGCCAGCAGCCGCGGUAAUACGUAGGGGGCAAGCGUUAUCCGGAUGUACGGGGUGGAAAGGGGGCGCAGACGGCGAUGCAAGCCAGGAGUGAAAGCCCGGGGCCCAACCCCGGGACUGCUCUUGGAACUGCGUGGCUGGAGUGCAGGAGGGGCAGGCGGAAUUCCUGGUGUAGCGGUGAAAUGCGUAGAUAUCAGGAGGAACACCGGUGGCGAAGGCGGCCUGCUGGACUGCAACUGACGUUGAGGCCCGAAAGCGUGGGGAGCAAACAGGAUUAGAUACCCUAGUAGUC